RNAcentral lists this ribosomal RNA (508 nucleotides) under uncultured Glomus. Its description in RNAcentral is "SSU rRNA". It matches the Rfam family "Eukaryotic small subunit ribosomal RNA", at positions 571 to 1089 of the family's 1831-position model. The record is from RNAcentral. Lineage: Eukaryota; Fungi; Glomeromycota; Glomeromycetes; Glomerales; Glomeraceae.
AGCAGCCGCGGUAAUUCCAGCUCCAAUAGCGUAUAUUAAAGUUGUUGCAGUUAAAAAGCUCGUAGUUGAAUUUCGGGGUUAGUASGUUGGUCAUGCCUCUGGUAUGUACUGGUCUCACUGAUUCCUCCUUCCUGAUGAAUCUUAAUGCCAUUAAUUUGGUGUUUUGGGGAAUUUGGACUGUUACUUUGAAAAAAUUAGAGUGUUUAAAGCAAGCUAACGCCUGAAUACAUUAGCAUGGAAUAAUGAAAUAGGACGUUCGAUCCUAUUUUGUUGGUUUCUAGGAUUGACGUAAUGAUUAAUAGGGAUAGUUGGGGGCAUUAGUAUUCAAUUGUCAGAGGUGAAAUUCUUGGAUUUAUUGAAGACUAACUACUGCGAAAGCAUUUGCCAAGGAUGUUUUCAUUAAUCAAGAACGAAAGUUAGGGGAUCUAARACGAUCAGAUACCGUCGUAGUCUUAACCAUAAACUAUGCCGACUAGGGAUCGGAUGAUGUUAAUUUUUUAAUGACUCA